ACGGUUCAUCUGUGAAAAUAAUGAUAGUCCUGCUGUCAUGUCUCGGCUCUGAAUCAAUAAUGCAUCUUCUGCCCAAGCAUAUUGAGAACGAGAGCAUGCAAAGUGGCCAGUAGGAUUUUUGCUUCGUCGAAGAAAAAAACAUUAAGUCAAAUUAUAUGAAAGAAUAAAAGAAUUGCAGUCUAGAGAGUGGUUGUUGAAAGCCUAUUUUCUCAUCUACCCAUAUGAUUUUAUGUGAUCCUCCAAAGGAUCCACCAAUCUUUUUUUUUCAUGCAAAAAGGAUUCGCUAAUCAUAUAAAUAGAUGUUAAAUAAACAGGGCAGGAAAUGUACAUAGCAACUUUAAAAUGUUCAGAGAAGUUCGUAUGUAUAUACAUACCAUAGUUACUUUAUUAUGCAUGUGUGCCAGUGUGCGGCGUUAUGGCUGUUUUGAUUUUCUGGGACUGAUCCAUUCACUCAUGAAAGUAUGAAACAAGGACGUACGGAUGAUUGAGCAAGGAUUCAAAUGGACCAUGGUGGAAACACAGCAACAGAGAGAAAAUAGCAGAGUGGAGCACUGUUUUUGCUUUUCUUUUCUUUUCCAUACUUCCUUUCCCUCUUCAUUUCAAGCAUUAGAGCUGGACAGUGCUUGCAGCCUGUCUUCCUGUCUGGCCAAUUCAUGUUGCGAAAUGCCAAUGUUGUCCAACAUCAACCCCACAGAAAAUGUGGUAUGUCCUAACAAAAGAUGCAACUGAAACAUGACAGCAAUGUUGUGGAAGCAUAAUGUGCACGUAGAUGUAACCCAAACUACAUCCUUGUGUACUUGUUUGCCUCCAACAAUCGAGAUAUGACAGGCUCAUACGUUAUUUAUUGUCUGAACCGACAGACUAUUCAGAAUAAAAGAAUCAACCUGCCGCAGAGAUGGACAGCAAGCUCACAAGCAAAUGGACUGGCAUGAUUCUUCUUGUCUGCUGGUUCAACUGUGUGUUGCUUCCACUUCUUUCAUUAUAUAUAGAGAGAGAAGCCCACGGAGAGUAGACACCAUUAGAGCAGCAUUCCUCUCCCCUCCAAAAGAAGAGAGCGCUGCAUUUUUCGCCCCAAGCAUGGCUUACCGUACAAGAUCUGCGAGUGCGCCUUCCAGCCGUUGCUCCAACGAACCCAGCAUCGAGGAUCAGCUGCAGAUUCAUUAACGAAACCAUCCGAGGAGGCUUGGAAGUGUGUCUACAACGACAUUUAGGAGAUCAUGUGCUUGACUAGCAACCAAGUCAGCCUGUGCCAACCAAAGCAAAGGAAAGCAGUGGAGGACGAGGUUGAGCGCGCGCUCCCUCUCUCUCUCCUGUUGCUUGAUUUCUUCGGUGCCAUGCAAGAGAGCAAGCUCGAGCAUUCAGGAGACAGGAGGUGCAACUGAUUAUCAAAAGGGGAGACGUUGAAGCCAAGAUUCAGUUUCGAACCCUAAAUAUGCUUUGUAAAGAAGAUGCAGAGAGCUGGAGGAGGUUCAAGAAGAUUAACAAUAGGUCUACCUUCAGCUAACCAGGAGAGCUGCAGGGUGGUCAAGCUGUUGGGUGAAGCUAGAGAUAUUGCUGUCUCAAUUCUCGAGUCCUCGUCACAUUUCCUGUCAAAGCAGAUUGCAGCAAAGUUCUAGCAAGUGGUCUUUCAACCACAAGACAUUUCCUAAAGAGAAGAGUUCUAUGUGAAGUGGAUCAGUUACAAGCCUAAAGCCUUGGAGUUGGACAUUGUAUAUCUUCAGUGUAGAUUUGGGACUUUGUUCUAAAAAAAAACUAUCCAAAGCAGAGUUUCCCUUCUCAACACUCUCAGCUUGUAGAUAGAUGUACCAACUCAACCCUUUGGCACCCCCCUUUUAGAUGAUCAGCUGGUCACUGCACAUAUAUGAGAAAUAUUGUACAGAAAAACAGUCACUUGGAAACAGAAACGUAAUUUUGAACUUGUUUUAUGUUAUAAACCAUAUGGUACAAUGACCCAAGUUUGUAGCAUCCAUCAAGAAAAUACUUUAUUAAGAACAAAUGAUGCUCCAAAGGUGCUCAAUACCAGUGACAGUUAUUAAAGUAGCUAGUUGUUAGGGUGCGUUCUUCAAGUUGAUAAUUGCAUGUCUUUAUUAUGACAUGCCCACGUUGCUGAGAUGCAAUAUGUUGCCUCAGCAACAAGCAGCAGAUCCUUGUCCAGUGGAUCUUGCUAACUAUAACUAAAACAAACCAGCUCCUGCACACGAGGUAGAGCGUGUAAGUAGCAUGAGCCAUGAGUUGCGCAGAGUAAAAUACCUACUGCCAUCUGCGACUGCGCAGCAACCAUACAACACGUACUUCACCAAUAAUACUUGGUCUGCGACCACUAAACUAAUCCCAGGAGCAUGCAAUUGUGUCAAGAUCAAGAUUGUCCAGUGGAGUAACUAACCUGUUGAUUCUUGUUGCCGCCAUUAGUUGGAGCAUGGCAAUGUGAUAGAUCACUGGGAGAGUGGGAGAAUAGCUGGCACACUAAAAAGAAUGAUAAACACACGCCGCGUGGUGAAGGAAACAGAUUCCUUAUGCUGCUGCCAGAUCUCAAACCUUGAGAGACAACACUGAGGAGAUGAAAUGGCAGGAUUCUCUUUGUCUACCAUUCAAAAGAUGCUGCCUCAUACCCUCUGUCUAUAAAUAGGGUCUCGCCAGAGACUUGAAUCAUCAACCAAAGAUUUUCGCUUCUCAUUACUUCACCUCAUUUCAAUAUACAUCCAGCCAGAGACUAGAGAUCGACAUGGCUUGCCAUCUUAGGUCGAUAAGCUUGCCGUCUAGGCCUCAGUCCGGCGAAGCCGCAGUGCAGCAAGAGCUGUGUAUUCUAGAUGCAAUCAUCUCCUCGCCAUCAACAUGUAUCGUCACGAUGUGUGACGGUUUGAGGAGGCUUGGAGACAUCUACAACAGCGUUGUGGAGAUGACUCACUUGCCAAGCAACCAAGUCUGCUCUUCCCAGCAAAGGAAGAUGCUGGAUGGAGAAAUCGAAUCUUCCCUCGAGCUGCUGGAUCUCUGCAACACCAUGCAAGAGAUCUUUGUUGAGUUGAAGGCCAUCAUCCAAGAGCUGCAGGUGGCUCUAAGAAAAGGAGAUGGCGCAACCGUUCAAGCCAAGAUCCAGUCCUACAGCCGCUUGGUGAAGAAGGCUAAGCAGUCUUUCAAGAAGUCAAGCAAGAAGGCCACUUCUGACAAGGCAGACUGUGCAGUGGUCAGGCUCCUGACCAAGGCCAGGGAGAUCGCCAUCUCUCUACUUGAGACCACGGUGCAGCUCCUGUCAAAGCAAAUUGAGGUGCCGAAGCAGUCACUUGUCUCAAAGGCGUUUUCCAAGAGAAAAGCAGUUGUCUGCGAGGAGGACCAGUUACAGGCGUUAGAGUGCAGCGUUGGAGAUCUCGAGAGCGGAGCAGGACACCUGUUCAGGAUAUUGGUCCAGAGCAGGGUCUCUCUCCUGAACAUCCUUAGCUCAUAGACACUCCUUGUUGCUCUUGACAUCCUGUGAUUGGCAUCCGCGUUUUUGAGGAUUAGCUAAUCUUGAUGCAGUUUUGUAAUAUGUAUAGAGUACAAAUGUAUAGGGGGGGAAAUCGGAAAGGAAAAAAAAAGACACAGUUUUGAUCCAAUUCAUUUUUGUUGACGUGAUUUUGUGCAUUCAGUAAGGAUUGCUUUGUUUUCGGAUGCUUAAUUUGUGGAUCUUGCCCUGCGUACAAGAAGCAUGCCAGAUCACAGCCACAAUGGUUAAGCUGAAAUAGCAGAAUAAAUUAAUCAUCCAGAUUCCCCCUACCACGUUGGUGCAGUAAACCAAAUUUCAGCCGCCCUAAACCAGCUGAAUCAGCCAAGUUGAAGGCGAGGCAAAGGUGCGUGUCGCCCUUACAGAUCGGGAGGAGCCAAAUGGCAUGGUCCGUACCAGACGGAGUUGUGUGUGUAGGGACCAGGGAGCUUUGGGGGUCAGUGAUAGAAUUCAACUUCCCGUCCCCUGAAUUGGCUCCGCCGCGGCUUUCGAAUUGUAGAGCGCUCCUCGCGGUCCUCCCACCCGUUUCGUCCUCGUCGUCGGGCGUCGGCGACCCCGCCGCCUUCUCCACCUCGAGGCCACGGACUCGGCUACUCAGCGUUGCAUUGGUGGUGGGGUGGCACCGGACUUUAUCCCGCCGCCGCCGGACGGCGACUGUCCAAGGGUCCAACUCGGAACGAAUGUAUUUUCUGAAAAUGAGAUUCCAUCCUUAGUAGAGUGGUAGAGCGAUGAUUUUGAUGGCAACGUGUAAGGUUCAGGAGAUGUUCCUCAUGUCAAAUCAAACAAAAAAUGGAGGUGAAAGAUACCAUGGCAAUAGCAAUGUGGUAUCAGGCUGCCUAUUCCCAAU
This 4322-nucleotide long non-coding RNA is filed under the name Zea mays. RNAcentral describes it as "long non-coding RNA (ZMAY_LNC005428)". Lineage: Eukaryota; Viridiplantae; Streptophyta; Magnoliopsida; Poales; Poaceae. The record is from RNAcentral.